Oryzias latipes (Japanese medaka) is the source of this 560-nucleotide non-coding RNA. The record is from RefSeq and is a predicted model, not a curated record. Lineage: Eukaryota; Metazoa; Chordata; Actinopteri; Beloniformes; Adrianichthyidae.
GUGACCGCGGUGCCUCUUUAAAAAUGGCGCAGCACAGACGGCCGUGGGAGGCUACUCGGAGCUGCUGCUACCAGGAACGUCUGUCUGUGUGCCAGUUAUUUGUGUUACCGGGAUUUGUCGGAUUUAAGAGGGACCUGAUAUUCCCUAGCCAGACCUGGUGAGAGGGGGCAGGAGACCCCCGGACCUGGAGCAUCACCCAGCCAGGUGCAGAGGAGGUCCCCCUUAAGGGGCAUAGGUGACCCCGGCGUCGGGGCCAAAAGGCCACAGGACAGGCACGCUCAGCCGCACCGGACGGCAGCCAGUGGGGCCAUCGCACGCUGGACACUGAGACGCGGGUCAAGGACGGAGCCAGGACCAGGAGGACAACGGAUAAAAGACCAUCCCCACCCAGAUGAAUCAAGGUGUCCAAUAUGCGAGUAAAAGUGGAAUGGAAGCCGGGUGCCGACGUAACCCCAGAGAGAGUCACCCCCGGGCAGCACCGCCAGCGUAUCCCAACUGGCCCCCUAGCCAGCCGCAGCAGGCGCCUCCACCUCCCAGGGCGACCGGGAGUAAAUGAAGAA